RNAcentral lists this unclassified non-coding RNA (2420 nucleotides) under Apis dorsata (giant honeybee). RNAcentral's name for it is "putative uncharacterized protein DDB_G0285119, transcript variant X3". The record is from RNAcentral. Lineage: Eukaryota; Metazoa; Arthropoda; Insecta; Hymenoptera; Apidae.
UAAUGUUUUUCCAUAAGUAUAAAAAUAGAACGUACUUAAAUAAAUCUAGCAUGCGCACGCCAUCGUACGAAAUGUUUCAAUUGUUGAUUGAACAAUUCUGUUUUGAAACGAACGUUAUUUUAUCAAUAUUAUUAUCUUAUUAUAAUUAGAAAUAGAGCAAAAAGUGAACAAAAAUAAUUCAUUAUAUACAUUAUUAUUAUUCUUAUGUUAAUUGAAAUAUAUUUAAAUGAAAUACAUGAAGAAGUAAAUGUCAGUAUUCUAACAUAACCUCAGUUUUUAUUAUUGAGAGUGAAAUUGAUAUUAUCAUUCUUUAAUUAUUUUUUUCCAAAAAAAAUUACAUUGUUAUAAAUACAUCAUUUCAAAAUGAAUAUAAGACUUUUAAAAGAUCCUGCUACUGUAAGUAGCCGUAUAUUUGUGGGUCACUUACAAACUGAUGAUAUGACUAAACUUGAAUUGGAAGAACAUUUUUCAAAAUAUGGAACCGUUGUUGGUUCUUCAAUAAAUCGUGGAUUUGGUUUUGUUCAAUUUGAAGAAGAACAAUCUGCUCAGAAAGCUAUUCAAAAUGAAGAUGGUGCAAUGUUCAAAGGCAGAAGAAUAGAUGUUAGGCCAGCAAAAAAAGAUAAUCAAUCUAGUGGAGGUGCAGGAAAACAAUUAGGAGGACCUAAUAAUCAAUUUAAUUCUGGCAAUAAUCAUUUUAAUGCUGGAAAUGAUUCUUUUAAUAAUGGAAAUCAGGGUUAUGGAGGAAAUUCAAAUUUUAAUGCAAACCAAAAUUUUAGUUGUGAUCCACAAUUGAAUGACAAUCAAAAAGGUAAUAAUAUGCAAAUUCGAGGAGGAAAUGAUCAAUUUGCAGAUGGAAAUCAGAAUAGAGAUAAUAUGAAUGAUCAAUUUGGAAAUCAAAAUCGAAAUAAUGGGAAUGAACAAUUUAACAAUGUAAUGCAAUCUAAAGGAAAUAAUAAUUUUAAUCCAAAUAAUCCAAAUAGAGGUGGUACUGAUCAAUUUAAUCAAAGCAGAGGUGGUAAUCAAUUUGGACCAGCUGGAAAUCAAAAUAGACCUAGUGGAAAUCAAAACCGUAAUACAAAUAAUCAGAAUCAAAGUAGUGGGGGAGGUAUGAAUAAUGGAGGGAGUGGUCGACCAAGAGGUACCAGAGGUGGAAAAAAUCGAAAUAAAAAUAGAGAUAAUUCAGGUGGAAAUAACUUCAGAGAUCGUAGCCCUAUUAAUAGAGGCCCACGUUUAGAUGAUAAAAGUGGUAGAGAUUGGGAUCAUAAACAAGGGGAUAGAUUAAGAGGCAAUAAUUUUAAUAGAGAUUCAUUCAAUGACAGCAAUAAUCGUUAUGAAGAUUUUAAAAACUCUACUUCUAGAGAUAUGAAUAUGAGUUUUAAUAAUACAAGUACAUCAAAUGAAUAUUCAAAUGUAUCAACUGAAAAAAAUGAUUGUGAAAUCAUUGUUGUUAACAAAGUUUUAACAGAAUAUGCUGAAAGUAUUGAAAUGAGGUUAAAAAAAAUUGGAUUAACAGUUGAUUUAUUAUUUCCAAAUGAAGACGUCCUCUUAAGUAGAGUUCUAGGAAAUAUUGCAAGUCGUGGAUGUUUAUAUGCAGUUGUAGUGACACCUAUUAAUCAAGAACAUCAUUCCUUAACUUUAAAUAUUCUUCAUGGUUUACCUCAAGAACAUAGAAAUAUGUUGGUUGAAGAUGCUAUUAAUUUAAUAUCGCGCGAUUUUGCUAAUUACAAAGCUGGUGGACGAUCGGUUCCAUUGAAUACACCUUUUGCAAACGAACGACAUCCUGAUGCUAUUCAAGUUCUUUUAAAUAUGCUGGCUGAUAAUCAUCAAUUAACAGUAUUACAAUAUGAUCGAGUUAUAAAAUAUCUCGAAAUUAAACGUGAAGAACAAGUGCAAGUUGAAUUAGGAGAUGUAAAAGAUUUACCAACUACAACAACUACGAUAACAGUCAGUGAUCCAAAACAAGCAGAAUUACAAUCUAGGAUACUUAAUAUUUUAAACAGUAAUAAAACAACUUCAUCUGCACCAGCACCAAGUCCAGUACCAGCUCCAACUUCAACACCAGCACCCGUUCCACCAGCUACUUGGGGAACAGAAAAAAUUAGUCUGUGUGGCUAAAAGGAUAGCCGCGAGAGCUGAAAUACAAGCAAAAGCACUGAUUCCAAUAAGUGGUCUCAUUGUCAUAUUGGUAGCAAGACUCAAAGCAGAUCGUGCACUGGUACUAUCCAAUAUGUCUUCAUCUGUAAAUCCUGCAGUUCUAUUAUCUACAAAAGAAAGAUAUUUUAUAAAAUCUAAAAAUGAACCCAAUAAAAUAUGAAUUCUAUUCUUUACCUGGAUUAGAUUCAGCUAAUUUCAUGUCAGCACGCAGUUCAUUGAUAUUUUUACCUUUUGCUGUUACUAUGAUCAGAAAUCUAAUAAUUUUG